UAACACGCAUCGCUUGCAGUAUGGUUUUGGAAACAUUAAGGACCUUAUCUGUCACAUUGGCGCGUAUUUUUUGGUAAACAAAAGGUUAAAUUGAUAGACCUUUAUCGGAUUAGGGUUCCCAAAUGGCCAUAUUUCAAUGUAACAGCGCUUGUUUCCGAAAACAAACUUAAGAUAGUUCAUUAGCACAGGUAUGUAUGUAUGUAAACGGAAGACAGAAAAAUACUGUAGGCUCCAACUGUGUCAAAACAGUGUACAGAAGUGGCAGAGAAAGCACUGGGUGCAGAGGGCCUCUUUCUCUUCUCCUCCUUGGACAAAGACCAUGACCUUUUCCUCAGUUCAAACCAUCGCAGAGAAACUCACAGGGAUCACACAUCCAGUGGAUUUCGAGGAGCAAGUGACCGAUGACCCUAAUCGAGAGACCCUAACCCUGGAGUCCAAGAUGCAACCUCUGCAGCUUGACACAAUGAUGAAGAGUAGCCCCGCAAAACACUCACAUAAUUACUGGGUUUUGCCUUACCGUGAUUUAAGCUAAAGUUAUUUGUAAUCCAGCUCAAGCAUAGAUUACAUCCUACCUUGUAAACAUUUUACUGCUGUCUAUGACUGGGUUAUAAAGUAUGAAAAUACUUAUGGUGAUAAAUGACAAGAGAAUAAGGUUCAAAUAGGCAUUCCAACAGUUAGCAGAGAAAGCCUCAGAUAGUUUCACCUGUCUCUGCUUGUCUCCACCCGCCACCAGGGGUCUCCCAUCUCUCCGUGUUCUCUGUCUGUUGCCAGUUUGUUUUGUUUGUCAAGCCUACCACAGUUUUUCCCCUUGCGCCUGUCUGUUUCUAGUUCCCGUUUUUGACCAUUCUGCCUGCCCUGGAUACUGACCUCUGCCUGCCCUUGACCUGUCGUUUUGCCUGCCCUUGACCUGUCGUUUUGCCUGCCCCCUGUUCUAGUAAUAAACUUUUGCUACUUUGACACUCUGCAUCUGGGUCUUCCCUAUAACGUGAUCCAGAUUUCACAAUUAAGUCUCAGUCUCACCAGGUUACCCAUAGUUCCCUGAGUGGGCUGAGAUCCUGGCAGCAUUCUGCUGUGACCUCCACAUCCUUCUCUGCCAGCCAGUACAGGGACCUCCUGCUCCCCCCAAAAACACAGGGGAGCUGGGAUACACCUGGUUGGUCAUUCAGAGUGAGCUCAACAUAUUCACUGGGUACCUGCCAAACAAUCGCUACCACCCCUCUGCACCACAAGGAAAAAAGGUUCUCAUUCACUCCCUGCUGAGUAUGUUCCACCCACGGCCUUUCAAGUCCCGCUUCACCGCUCCGUGGCCUGCAUUCGAGCCGCCAGAGACUUCUAUCUGGACAUAGUUUUCAGGUGAGGAAACUCUGGGAUUCCUCAUCAAGCCUAGUCCAGCGAGUUCACAACUUGUUUCCAUGUUAUUACCCCUGUAACAGCUGCAGAUCCCAGCCUAUGGAAUAAAAGUUUUGAGUUCUUACCUUCUAAA
Long non-coding RNA from Oncorhynchus nerka (sockeye salmon), 1483 nucleotides. RefSeq lists it as uncharacterized. Lineage: Eukaryota; Metazoa; Chordata; Actinopteri; Salmoniformes; Salmonidae. The transcript is spliced from 4 exons. The record is from RefSeq and is a predicted model, not a curated record.